Molecule: long non-coding RNA, 3379 nt
Organism: Lutzomyia longipalpis
Lineage: Eukaryota; Metazoa; Arthropoda; Insecta; Diptera; Psychodidae
Exons: 2
Source: RefSeq, a predicted model, not a curated record
GGUAUGGUUACCUGUGAAUGAUGAUGUACCCUGUGAGAUGACUGCGCUGCUGCUGGCAGUACCGUCACGACGCACACGCACCUGUGAAUGAUGAUGUACCCUGUGAGAUGACUGCGCUGCUGCUGGCAGUACCGUCACGACGCACACGCACCUGUGAAUGAAGGUGAAUGAGAAUGCUGAGGAAAUACUAUACGUCAAAUGUCCGGGUCGAAGCGACCGCGAUUGUAGAUGCUCAGUCGGAGAAUUUUCACGUGAUUUCCUCUCCAGCACGUCACUUUGUUGGAAAAUUGCUUAGAUUUUUCCUUUCAUUCUCUUAUGUUCCACGUGGAACUUGGAAAAGUUCAAUUUGUCCACGCGGGAAUUGUGGAAGAGUUUGGCGGCAAUUUUUUGUGGAAAAAGGAAUAAAUUGCUGUCACUUGUUUCACACAAAUUUUAAUUUAUUUCUCAACUUAAAUUUUAUUAUAAAAUCAAAUAAUUAACAAUUUAUUUCAGAGAUAAUUCAAGGCGGCAAUGAGCCGUACAAGUUAUGUAAGAGUUGAGAGCAAAGUGAGAAUUGAGUAACAAGUGAGUCCCGUUUCAAUACCGACCACUAUUUAUAAGCUGGCGCUGGGGAGCCGUGGCGGGCGUUGAUUGGACAGUUGGGGGUUUCGAUGAUCUCAUCGAGUUAACACUUACAUGAUAAAAUUAAUUUUAUAGUAAAUUUGAGAAAUUGGGUUUUUUAGAAAAUCAUGUAGUGCGGUCAUAGACAUUCUCCCCCGGGAUUGAAGCCGGUGGGAUUCAAUUGGGCGAAGGCGGAAGUCCUUCCAAUGAAGAUCGGGAAAUUGACAGUUGUGGAUUGGAAAGUGCCAUUUUGACUGUUGGGUUUCCGUAGCGUGUGACUUGCGUCUCGUCCGGGUGUGGGUCGAAUUUCGACCGAGUGACCAGUGGAGUGUAGGAAUAGUUUCAUCGUGGAUGAGGAUUGUCUUCUUGGUCAUCAGGUUGGAGCGAUUUGCUGACCAUUUGUUGUAUCUUGGAGAACUUACGAGAUUUUUCAUUUUGUAUCUUUCAGCCAAAGGUUUCCAUGGCUGAUGACCUUGAUGCCACAUGGUUGAUUUCAGUGGAGGCCAAUGAAUUCUCAAGGAACCGGAUUGUUUCAGCCUAGAUUGGAUUGAGAGGUAGUGUCCAUGAGCCAAGAACUCUAGGGCGCGUAGAUUCUCAAAGGUAAGGUUUGAUUUUUCCUUAUACUUCCUCCAAUGGUACUUGAAUGAUUCGAUUGUGGUUUCCCAAAGGCCUUUGUGAUGCGAUGACCUUGAUAGUUGGAGGUGUGAGAUACUACGGAAGUGAGUGGCAGCCAUGAUGACAGCCAUGAAAAUACGAUUCCUCAAAGAAUGAUGGAUCAGGUAAGGUUUUGGUGCGUUUCCAAAUCGUCCUCCCACACAUAAAUUGGAUUUUUCAUUACAUGGUGCGAAUAUGCGUAUGCGUUGAGCGAAGAAUGGUGCGCUUAUGGAUGAGUGUGGAAGGUUCCUUCCGGUAGUAAUCGCCCCUUGUAGCAUAGCUUCGCGUAUCUCCCCCAAAUGCUUCUUUUGAUCCCACCAUCGAACAGUGGUCUCUAUGGGGAGGUUAGUUUGAGGAAGCAGAGGAUUUUGUAUGGGAAAGGAGAUUUUCUUACGCCGGUUGGGAUAGAGGAGUGAUAUAGCAAUGACGCGAAGUCGUUCAGCACAAUCUGAAGACUCUUUGAUGCUUCGUGAUAUCAAUAGCUGUUCUGAGUGAAGCUCAGAAAUAUUUAAUCCACAGACGGUUUCUGUCACGAUAUUUGUCAAAUGAACGUCUGGGAUUUGGCAAAGAAUUAAGGGCCGUUGCUCAAUUACUUGUAAUGAAAAGGGCCCAAACCAUAAGAGAUCCAGGGUUUCAAGAGAGCGAGGAUAGGAUUGACGUGUGGCAAUAAUUGCCGGUUUUGUAGGGAUUGCUUGUUGCCAUGUGAGUUUUGUGUUCGGAGUUUUGGGAAAGAGUUUGAACGAUAACUCAAGGGAACGAGGAGGGAUGAAAUAUCUAUUGAUCAAUGUAUGAAACUGAGGUACAUUCUUAAUUGCAAAGAGAUACAGAUGGUCAAGAGGGGGCCAGAGUAGAACAGGGUAGGUUCGUAGAAUGAUGUCCGAUAGAAAUUUCAGACAGAAUUUGUAUGUUGAAUAAUCCGUUGAAAUGUUCCCUUUCAUUUCUAGAAUCCUGGUUCUAACGUCCGGAUGAGAACAAUGAUUGUCCUGAAUGCCUUGGGUGGUGGAGAGUUUUUGCUGUGAUUGCUGAGCUUCUUCGCAAGAUGAAAAGGAAGCUAGCUGAUCAUCGACUUGGAAGCCAUCCAGUGGAGGUUUGGUUGCCAAAGGAAAACGUUCGCAUUUGUCUGCAGCAAGUGUUUGAAGGCGGAAGUGUUGUACCUCAUCAUCUCCGAUGCGAAACCGACCGUUAGCAAUGUGCAAGAGACUCAGGUCCAAAUUCUUGCUUGAGAUGUCGAAGUAUGUCGUCUUGAAUUCCGGAUUGUGGUGUGGCUUCUGCUUUGGGCGAAACGAUUGUAAUGCAAUUUUAAGUUGAGAUGGUGAGAUGGAGCCGGAAAAUGGUGAUUGCAGUGUUGCUUGCAGAUCAAUAGGUGCUGUGGCACGAUUGGCCUGGCGUCUUGAAGCUCGAUGACCGGAUGAUAGUAGAUGGCCAGGAGUCGAGACGUCGUUUUUCUCUCGAAGGACCAGAUGUUGGCGGUAUGGUUACCUGUGAAUGAUGAUGUACCCUGUGAGAUGACUGCGCUGCUGCUGGCAGUACCGUCACGACGCACACGCACCUGUGAAUGAUGAUGUACCCUGUGAGAUGACUGCGCUGCUGCUGGCAGUACCGUCACGACGCACACGCACCUGUGAAUGAAGGUGAAUGAGAAUGCUGAGGAAAUACUAUACGUCAAAUAUCCGGCUCGAAGGACCAGAUGUUGGCGGUAUGGUUACCUGUGAAUGAUGAUGUACCCUGUGAGAUGACUGCGCUGCUGCUGGCAGUACCGUCACGACGCACACGCACCUGUGAAUGAUGAUGUACCCUGUGAGAUGACUGCGCUGCUGCUGGCAGUACCGUCACGACGCACACGCACCUGUGAAUGAAGGUGAAUGAGAAUGCUGAGGAAAUACUAUACGUCAAAUGUCCGGGUCGAAGCGACCGCGAUUGUAGAUGCUCAGUCGGAGAAUUUUCACGUGAUUUCCUCUCCAGCACGUCACUUUGUUGGAAAAUUGCUUAGAUUUUUCCUUUCAUUCUCUUAUGUUCCACGUGGAACUUGGAAAAGUUCAAUUUGUCCACGCGGGAAUUGUGGAAGAGUUUGGCGGCAAUUUUUUGUGGAAAAAGGAAUAAAUUGCUGUCACUUGUUUCACACAAA